AUUGUUUCUGGCGGGGGAGGGGGAGAUGUGAACUCACUGUUUAUAUGCUAUCUGUCUGGAUCACAUUGUUUCACUUCCAUGCAACUUAAAGGGAAAGAGAACCAAUAGCAACGAAAUGACACUCAGGCUGCUUUCUAGCCAAGAUUUCAUUCCUUCUGCCACCACCAAUGACAUAGUAAGAGGCUAAAUUAUUAGCUUGUAAGGUGAAGCCAAGCCCCACUCCCUAGUAAUUUCUGAAAACAGCUCUCAUUUCCUGCCUUCUCUCUGAAAGAAGAACCAAGAGUGGCACUGUGGCUCAAACUGGUAGAGCCUUGAGCAAAAAAGAUCAGGGAAAACACUCAGGCCCUGAGUCCAAGCCCCACGACCGACAAAAGAACCCCAAAAACUGUGUGGUGCUUCAACAUAACAUAAAACUUCAUAUUACAUAGAAAAUUUUAAA
Long non-coding RNA from Perognathus longimembris pacificus (Pacific pocket mouse), 439 nucleotides. RefSeq lists it as uncharacterized. The record is from RefSeq and is a predicted model, not a curated record. The transcript is spliced from 2 exons. NCBI's taxonomy places the organism in Eukaryota, Metazoa, Chordata, Mammalia, Rodentia, Heteromyidae.